RNAcentral lists this transfer RNA (74 nucleotides) under Chitinophagaceae bacterium. Its description in RNAcentral is "tRNA-Cys". It matches the Rfam family "tRNA". Rfam says of the family: Transfer RNA (tRNA) molecules are approximately 80 nucleotides in length. Lineage: Bacteria; Pseudomonadati; Bacteroidota; Chitinophagia; Chitinophagales; Chitinophagaceae. The record is from RNAcentral. RNAcentral also lists the same sequence under 1 other name.
GGUACCGUGGCCGAGGGGCUAGGCAGAGGUCUGCAAAACCUUUUACAGCAGUUCGAAUCUGCUCGGUACCUCCA